RNAcentral lists this ribosomal RNA (497 nucleotides) under uncultured bacterium. RNAcentral describes it as "partial 16S ribosomal RNA". It matches the Rfam family "Bacterial small subunit ribosomal RNA", at positions 28 to 507 of the family's 1533-position model. The record is from RNAcentral.
GUUGAACGCUGGCGGCAUGCCUAACACAUGCAAGUCGAGCGAAUAGACGAGGAUCUUUCCUCUCUUACGUGACCGGCGGACGAGUGAGGAACACGUGUCUAACCGGCCUAGAGGGCUAGGAUAAGUUAGGGAAAGCGGAUCUAAUAUAGGAUAAGAUAUUGAACGGCAGGGUUCAAUAGAGAAAGACGUUUUUGCUGUCACUUGGAGAUGGAACCAAGCCGCAUUAGCUAGUUGGUACGGUAACGGCUUACCAAGGCGACGAUGCGUAGCCGACCUGAGAGGGUGAUCGGUCACACUGGAACUGAGACACGGUCCAGACUCCUACGGGAGGCAGCAGUAGGGAAUCUUCCGCAAUGGGCGAAAGCCUGACGCAGCCAUGCCGCGUGUGUGAAGAAGGUCUUCGGAUUGUAAAGCACUUUUAUUAGGGAAGAAGAAAUGUGAGAUAAACUAUGGCUGUCUUGACGUUACCUACACAGAAAGCACCGGCUAACUACGUG